CAGAAUAUAGUUUAUAAAAAAUAAUAGUUUUGGAAAUUAUAGAAAAAUUUUGAUUUUAUUCUGA
Molecule: transfer RNA, 64 nt
Filed under: Hylastes attenuatus
Lineage: Eukaryota; Metazoa; Arthropoda; Insecta; Coleoptera; Curculionidae
Description: tRNA-Pro
Source: RNAcentral